GCAAAAUCUGAAGCAUGAAGCUUGUCAAUCACCGUUGGUCCAGGAUUUGCCAGAAUAAGCUGUAAGAAAAUGCAGGCACCUGAGGUUGCAGGUUGCAACUCCUCUUCAAAGGAGAAAAUAAAAAAACACAUUUUUUCAAAAAAGGGGAGAGAUGGAGGGCUGCUUACUCCGUGGUGGACGUUGCCCCAUACGGAGUUCAUUACAGAAAUAAUAUCUGAUUUCUUUGU
Molecule: non-coding RNA, 227 nt
Organism: Theobroma cacao (cacao)
Lineage: Eukaryota; Viridiplantae; Streptophyta; Magnoliopsida; Malvales; Malvaceae
Source: RefSeq, a predicted model, not a curated record